Molecule: long non-coding RNA, 1214 nt
Filed under: Marmota monax (woodchuck)
Lineage: Eukaryota; Metazoa; Chordata; Mammalia; Rodentia; Sciuridae
Source: RNAcentral
GUGCCUUCUCAGGGCCUCUGGGAUGCUCAUCUUCUCCUUGGUGCCCUGGAUGAGGACUCCGGCAAUGAAGUUGCCUCCUUCCAGAGACCGCCUCACACUGGCCAUCUCUGUCACCUCCUGCACCGUCUUCUUCCCCUGGGUCAGGUCAUCUAGCGUCUGCUUGUUGAUCAGCUGAGACCUGAACAGGUCCCUGGCUGACACCUGCUUCCGGAGCCCUCUAAAGGUGGCCUGUGGGGACUGCUUCUCUGCAGUCUCCACUAGGGCAGUGACCGCACUGACCACCUGCCGCAGGGCUGUGGCUCGCCCAGACCGGCAGAGUGCUGCCAGCUCCCGCCUCUUGUCAGCACUGAUGUACUCGGAGUGUAGCAGGUCCCAGAGUGACACGAUGCGCCCUUGGAACCUCCCCAUACUGACAGGCACCUUCAUGGCCCUCAGAGCCACUGCAGUGUGCUCAUCCACCUCAAGCACAGCGUCCUGAGUGAGUGGCAGCAGCCACAAGCCGGUAUCAGCAUCCAGCACACAGAGCUCCUUGAGCUGCCCAUAUGUCACCCUGACCCGGGAAUUAGGGUCAAAGAAGAACUUGUUGUCCUCCUUGGUGGUGGUCAGUGCCCAGCUCGUCUGCUCGUCCAGGAGGCCAAGCCUGCAGGCCACUGCCUGAGGCAGGUGCACCCCAUGAACAGGGUCUAAUAUGCCCCCCGUGGCCAGCUGUACCUGCAGGAGGGGGAGGCCCUCACUCUCGGGCUCAAGCCCCUUCUCGAUGGCCUGCCACAGAGAGAGGGUUCCCCCUGAGUAGGGGUCUGUGUACCCGGGCACAGUCCUCUCGACCUGGCUGAGGUGCUCACUCAGCUCGCUGCCUACCAGGCCGGCCUUCACUGCAUCCUCCACUGACAGUCUCUGGUUGGUCAGUGGGUCAACAAGGGAGCCAGAUGCCACCUGGGCCUCCAGCAGUCUCUGUCCCAGGCCUAUGGGCAGGAGGCCAUCCCUCAUGGCCUGGGCGAGGCUCACUUUAGUCCCAGAGGGCUGCAGCAGCACCCCAGCCACGCAGCCCGUGCCCCAGAGGUGGGUCCUCACUGCUGGCUGCUCUGCCACCUCAGAGGGCGACUUUGUGCCCUGAGCCAGUGCGGCCAGCGCCUCCUGGGUGAUGAUGCCAGCGUCCCGCAGCCAGACGGCAGGAACCUCACCCCGGGGACCUGGCACUGUCACGCGGGCCUGGG